ACACAUGGCAGUAAAAAAAACAGACUGCAGUAAAAUAAACAGACCCUCAGAAAUCUAUGGGACAAGCUUAAGCACAGAAACAACAACAUCAGGGGAAUGUUGGAAGGAGAGAAGAGAAAGGGACCCUAUUUGAAAAAAUAAUGGCCAAAACUUCCAAAAUUUGAUUUUUUAGAAAAUUAAUCUAUACACCCAAGAAGCUGAAAGAAACCCAAGCAGGAUAAACACAAAUAGAUCCACACUUUAACACAGCAUUGUCAAACUAUUGAACACAAAUCCAAAGAGAAAAUCUUGAAAGCAGCAAGAAUAGCAGUCAUCACAGAAAGGUGAGCAUCUAGGUAAUUAAGCUGGCUUCUCAUCUAAAACCAUGGAUGCCAGAAGGCAGAAGAAUGGCACAUCCAUAGUGCAGAAAGAAAAUAAUGUCAAAGAAGAAUUCUGUAUCUAACAGAACUAUCCUUCAAAAAUGAGGGCAAAAUAAGGACAUUUUCAGAUUAAUAAA
Sapajus apella (tufted capuchin) is the source of this 496-nucleotide long non-coding RNA. RefSeq lists it as uncharacterized. The record is from RefSeq and is a predicted model, not a curated record. NCBI's taxonomy places the organism in Eukaryota, Metazoa, Chordata, Mammalia, Primates, Cebidae. The transcript is spliced from 3 exons.